This 253-nucleotide ribosomal RNA is filed under the name uncultured bacterium. RNAcentral describes it as "partial 16S ribosomal RNA". It matches the Rfam family "Bacterial small subunit ribosomal RNA", at positions 524 to 776 of the family's 1533-position model. The record is from RNAcentral.
UACGUAGGGGGCAAGCGUUGUCCGGAAUUAUUGGGCGUAAAGCGCGUGUAGGCGGUCCGGUAAGUCGGCUGUGAAAGCCCCGGGCUCAACCCGGGAACUGCGUCUGAUACUGGAUGGCUUGAAUCCGGGAGAGGGAUGCAGAAUUCCAGGUGUAGCGGUGAAAUGCGUAGAUAUCUGGAGGAAUACCGGUGGCGAAGGCGGCAUCCUGGACCGGCAUUGACGCUGAGGAGCGAAAGCUAGGGGAGCAAACGGG